Molecule: long non-coding RNA, 593 nt
Organism: Salvelinus fontinalis (brook trout)
Lineage: Eukaryota; Metazoa; Chordata; Actinopteri; Salmoniformes; Salmonidae
Exons: 3
Source: RefSeq, a predicted model, not a curated record
CAUCCCUCCAUACUCCUGCACGACAUCUCUAGCUGACACAUUUGCAAACAGGUAUUGUGUCAAUUGAAAACUCGCAAAAGACAGAUCACAGAAUUGUCAAGUUAAAGAAAUGUUGCCAAUUUUUCACAGAUGGAUAUGCUUUUUCCCUACUACCCGUGGUGUUGGAAGAGGCUGCAUUGGGAACAGGAUGCGUCGACAGCCUGGAAAGAUGUUUGUGGUGCAUUCACUCAUAACACUUCUUUGUUAGAAAAUUUGUGUAUCAUCUUCAAGCUUGAUAAAAAGCAAUCAGUUACCAGGCAAAAAGACAGAUUGAGGCCUUCAAUCGAACUGAGGACAGAGAAAUAUGCAUGGACAGGUCAAGACUUCUUGCCUUGAUAUGUACAGUGCCUUCAUUCCACAUUUUUUUGUUGCAUCCUGAAUUCAAAAUGUAUUAAAUAAAUAAAAAAUCUCACCCGUCUACACACAAUACCCCAUAAUGACAGUGAAAAUGUGUUUUUCGAAAUGUUUGCAAAUUUAUUGAAAAAUAAAUACAGAAAUAUCGAAUUUACAUAAAUAAGUAUUCAUACCCCUGAGUCAAUACUUUGUAGCACCUU